UACGAAGGGGGCUAGCGUUGCUCGGAAUCACUGGGCGUAAAGCGCACGUAGGCGGUUUGCUAAGUCAGGGGUGAAAUCCUGGAGCUCAACUCCAGAACUGCCUUUGAUACUGGCGGACUUGAGUCCGGGAGAGGUGAGUGGAACUGCGAGUGUAGAGGUGAAAUUCGUAGAUAUUCGCAAGAACACCAGUGGCGAAGGCGGCUCACUGGCCCGGUACUGACGCUGAGGUGCGAAAGCUAGGGGAGCAAACGGG
Molecule: ribosomal RNA, 253 nt
Filed under: uncultured bacterium
Lineage: Bacteria
Description: partial 16S ribosomal RNA
Rfam family: Bacterial small subunit ribosomal RNA
Source: RNAcentral